RNAcentral lists this ribosomal RNA (956 nucleotides) under uncultured bacterium. RNAcentral's name for it is "bacterial SSU rRNA". It matches the Rfam family "Bacterial small subunit ribosomal RNA", at positions 69 to 1067 of the family's 1533-position model. The record is from RNAcentral.
GGUCUUUUCGGAGACAGUGGCGGACGGGUGAGUAACGCGUAAGAAUCUACCUUCAGGUCGGGGACAACCACUGGAAACGGUGGCUAAUACCGGAUGUGCCGAGAGGUGAAAGGCUUGCUGCCUGAAGAAGAGCUUGCGUCUGAUUAGCUAGUUGGUGGUGUAAGAGACUACCAAGGCGACGAUCAGUAGCUGGUCUGAGAGGAUGAUCAGCCACACUGGGACUGAGACACGGCCCAGACUCCUACGGGAGGCAGCAGUGGGGAAUUUUCCGCAAUGGGCGAAAGCCUGACGGAGCAAUACCGCGUGAGGGAGGAAGGCUCUUGGGUUGUGAACCUCUUUUCUCAGGGAAGAACAAAAUGACGGUACCUGAGGAAUAAGCAUCGGCUAACUCCGUGCCAGCAGCCGCGGUAAUACGGAGGAUGCAAGCGUUAUCCGGAAUGAUUGGGCGUAAAGAGUCCGUAGGUGGCAUUGAAAGUCUGCUGUUAAAGAGUCUAGCUCAACUAGAUAAGAGCAGUGGAAACUACAAAGCUAGAGUUUGGUCGGGGCAGAAGGAAUUCCUGGUGUAGCGGUGAAAUGCGUAGAUAUCAGGAAGAACACCGGUGGCGAAGGCGUUCUGCUAGGCCGAGACUGACACUGAGGGACGAAAGCUAGGGGAGCGAAUGGGAUUAGAUACCCCAGUAGUCCUAGCCGUAAACGAUGGAUACUAGGCGUAGCUCGUAUCGACCCGAGCUGUGCCGGAGCUAACGCGUUAAGUAUCCCGCCUGGGGAGUACGCAGGCAACUGUGAAACUCAAAGGAAUUGACGGGGGCCCGCACAAGCGGUGGAGUAUGUGGUUUAAUUCGAUGCAACGCGAAGAACCUUACCAAGGCUUGACAUGUCACGAAUCCUGUAGAAAUAUAGNAGUGCCUUCGGGAGCGUGNACACAGGUGGNGCAUGGCUGUCGUCAGCUCGUGUCG